RNAcentral lists this ribosomal RNA (486 nucleotides) under uncultured bacterium. Its description in RNAcentral is "partial 16S ribosomal RNA". It matches the Rfam family "Bacterial small subunit ribosomal RNA", at positions 30 to 507 of the family's 1533-position model. The record is from RNAcentral.
AUUGAACGCUGGCGGCAUGCCUUACACAUGCAAGUCGAACGGCAGCACGGGUGCUUGCCCCUGGUGGCGAGUGGCGAACGGGUGAGUAAUACAUCGGCACAUGUCCUGUAGUGGGGGAUAGCCCGGCGAAAGCCGGAUUAAUACCGCAUACGAUCUACGGAUGAAAGCGGGGGACCUUCGGGCCUCGCGCUAUCGGGUUGGCCGAUGGCUGAUUAGCUAGUUGGUGGGGUAAAGGCCUACCAAGGCGACGAUCAGUAGCUGGUCUGAGAGGACGACCAGCCACACUGGGACUGAGACACGGCCCAGACUCCUACGGGAGGCAGCAGUGGGGAAUUUUGGACAAUGGGCGAAAGCCUGAUCCAGCAAUGCCGCGUGUGUGAAGAAGGCCUUCGGGUUGUAAAGCACUUUUGUCCGGAAAGAAAUCCUUGGCCCUAAUACGGUCGGGGGAUGACGGUACCGGAAGAAUAAGCACCGGCUAACUACGUG